This 550-nucleotide ribosomal RNA is filed under the name uncultured bacterium. RNAcentral's name for it is "bacterial SSU rRNA". It matches the Rfam family "Bacterial small subunit ribosomal RNA", at positions 777 to 1320 of the family's 1533-position model. The record is from RNAcentral.
AAUAGAUACCCUGGUAGUCCACGCCGUAAACGAUGAGUGCUAAGUGUUAGGGGGUUUCCGCCCCUUAGUGCUGCAGCUAACGCAUUAAGCACUCCGCCUGGGGGAGUACGGUCGCAAGACUGAAACUCAAAGGAAUUGACGGGGGGCCCGCACAAGCGGUGGAGCAUGUGGUUUAAUUCGAAGCAACGCGAAGAACCUUACCAGGUCUUGACAUCCCAUUGACCACUAUGGAGACAUAGUUUUCCCUUCGGGGACAACGGUGACAGGUGGUGCAUGGUUGUCGUCAGCUCGUGUCGUGAGAUGUUGGGUUAAGUCCCGCAACGAGCGCAACCCUUGUUCUUAGUUGCCAUCAUUUUAGUUGGGCACUCUAAGGAGACUGCCGGUGACAAACCGGGAGGAAGGUGGGGAUGACGUCAAAUCAUCAUGCCCCUUAUGACCUGGGCUACACACGUGCUACAAUGGACGGUACAAACGGUUGCCAACCCGCGGAGGGGGAGCUAAUCCGAAUAAAACCGUUCUCAGUUCGGAUUGUGGCUGCAACUCGCCUACA